RNAcentral lists this long non-coding RNA (7376 nucleotides) under Sus scrofa (pig). RNAcentral's name for it is "lncRNA (ENSSSCG00015041212.1)". Lineage: Eukaryota; Metazoa; Chordata; Mammalia; Artiodactyla; Suidae. The record is from RNAcentral.
UUUUUUUAUUUUUGCAUAGAGGACCAAGAUUUUGGUUCAAGUAACUGGAAAAAGAGAGUUGCCAUUUACGGAAGGGAGCGUGGGUGUAGGAAUAGAGAGAAGAAAACUUUCAGUUUCUGACAUGUUGAGGUCAAGGCACAUUAAUAGGUGUUUCCUCCCAGAGAAGUACUGCAGCGACCAGGAGAUGGCUGGAGGAGGAGAUGCGACAAGCGGAGAAGAGGCAAAGUGACUGAGCUGUGAGGUGCACCAGCCUUGAGAGAGCCAGCGGGGAUGGACUGGCUGAGGACACUGAGAAGAGGUCAGCGCUAGGCAGGGGUGAGCUAAAGCCAAAUGCCUCGAGGGGAAGGAGAGAGUGAUUCAUUACGCCAAGCUCUGCUCACAGGCAGGCAAGGUGACCACACGACGAGUAUUGGGCUCUAGCAGCAUGGGAGUCCCUGGGGACGCUGACAGAGUUCCUUCAGAGCAGUGAUGGGGACGAAAGCCUGAGGGGAGUACCUUCCAGGGAGACUGGCAGCAGGAAGAGAUCCUUCUUGUGAGUGGAGGAACUGGUAAUUGAGAGGAUGCAGAGUCUCAAUCUUGCACCGCUUUAAUGUGAUUUAGGGCAAAACUUUUAAAACUAAACGUGCCAAACUAUAUACUACCCUACUUACCACUGGAAAAUUUUUCUACUCUAUAACCCCACAACUUAAAUAUGAUUUUCCACGUGUGACUUUAUUUUAUAUUUGAAUUCGCCACUGUGGUUCUCUUUCUCUGCCCUGCCCCUCCAUCCCUCUCUCUUUUUGGUCUUUUUCAAUAGCCAAGUAGAAGGGGAAGACUGUCUUUAGUAUGAGUAAAUCUCGCAGGAAAUAUGAGCUAAUUUAUGAGUCAAAAAAAGAUAACAUGCAAAAAUGGAAAUUUUUAAUCUUUUGAAAUGGGAACAAUCAUGUGAAUUUCUAUUCAGGCUAUUUUUUAUAAUGUGAAAAUAAAUAGCCCUUCUCAAAUUUAACAUUGCUAUCUUUUUUUAUUUACUUAUUUAUUUUGCAGGUAUGGCGGCGGAAAGUAUUUUUUAAUCAAACACAUGCCUAUUUUACAGGACAGCUUGAAUGUCAUUUACUGAAUAACUUUGUAUUUAUGAAGAGCUUUGAGCUCCUUAGGAAAUCUGUUAAAAUGUGAAUAAACAAAGAACCAGCUAUUUAUUUAAUUUGUUCCAAAACUGAGUGAAACUUCUCAUUGUGAUCGAGGAAUAAGUAUUAAACAGAUAAUCUCCAAUAAGACAGGUCACGAUGCUAGCUUUCAUGUCCCCCAUUCACUGAAAAGUCCAUGGAAACCCUUUGUAGGACCUUCAAAUUCUUAAAAACCCAUGCCAAAAAUCAUCUUUUAUCCAGGAUGAAAUCUUUCUUAGGUGGGUUCCCAAUGACCCUUCUCCCAGCAUGAGAAGGAGCCGAAGGUUGGAAAGGAGGUUGCCCCUGGCCUCUGUGAGUCCUUGUCUUGGUGCAGCUGCCACCUGAGCCCAAAUGAUGGGAUCCCAUCAAGCUCCACCCAAAAGAGCCGCUGGUGAAGCUGAGCCAAGAGCAGGGAUGAUGGACCAGAACUCCUUUUCCAUCACCUCAAGUUUGGGAACCACAGAGACCCCAUCACCUGGGCAAAGCAUUUGGUGCCCCUUGGAACCAACACCCUUUACUAUGCGUUCAGCUUUCCUUAAGAUAAACUAUUUAGUUCUGACCACAGACUUAACACCUUACCCUGCAAAACUGAAGCCCUGAAAUGAUGGCCCCACCCUCCUUGAGAAGAGGCUUUAGGAAUGCCUCCAUAACUAAAACCUGCCCCUCCCAUUUCCUUUUUUUUUUUUAAUUAGUAGACUUUAUCUUUUAGAUUUUAGGUUUACCAAAAAAUUGAGCAAAUGUACAGACAGUUUCCACAUAUCCCAUCUCUGUCUCCCACUUCCCACAGUUUCUCCUACUAUUAACAUCUUACAUUGACUGGUACAUCUCUUGUGACUGAUGAAUGAAUAUUGGUACAUGACUAUUAUAAGGUUACACUGGCAUUCACUAUUUGUGUUGCGCAGUUAAAUGGGUUUUGACCAAUGCAUAAGGUCAUGUAUCCAUCAUUACAGUAUCAUGUACAAUGAUUUAACUCUCCUAAAAAAUGAAUGGUCUUUCCUUUUCCUUUUGAAGUGGUUUAUCCAAGUAUCCAUUAUAAAAAAUCUUAUCACAUCUUCAGUGAUGUUUCAUUACCUGGAAGGUGUUUUAACAUCCCUUAAAGGGAGCUAACUACCUGGUUGGUCCACAGUAAUCAGAUGCUUGCUGUGCAAAUGGUAAAAUUUCCAGUUUCCAUUUCAAUCUUACCGAGACAGAACUUCAAAAAUUUUGGCUAGCAAAAGAGAAGGUGACUAUACAGUCUUCUCGCCCAAGUUCAAACAGGGGCAAGAAUGAUGAAGUACAAUGCCCAUGAAGAGUUCCCAGCAUGCUAAAUGCACAGAAACAUUAACAGAAGAUAAGAAAAGAGGCAAUACUAUCAUUAAGGCAAGGUUAAGUUACAAAUCCAAUUCUGGUUUCUUUUUACUAGCUUCUCUAGAAGGACAUUGGGUCACUUUCUGAAGCAAGUUAGAGUUUCCUUUCUUUGUAGGGGGGCUUAAGUUCCAGUCAUUGCUACCACUGUAUUCAGGACAUGAGUUUUCUUGUAAUAAGACAGAAAUAUGGUUCUAAAUGUAAUAGAAAGGCAGACAGACCAAUAGUUCAAAGUGCGUGAAAGACUGAUUUCCCUAGGGUUACUUGAGCCUGGGGUACUGUGUCUCACAUUUUGAGCAUCAUGCUUAUAGGAAAACUUAGGAAGAAACAGUGUGUUGAAAUAUUUGGGUCAGGAAAGAUCAAUAGAACUGAAGCUUUUCAGGUCAAUGCAAAUGCAAAAUUAACACCAAGGAGGAGACACAGCGCAAUGAAGUGGAAAAACACACCAUUUAGAAUCCAAGCUAAAUUCAAAUCCAAUCCCAGCCACUAAGUAGCUCUGUGACCUUGCCUAGCAUACUCAGUCUUAGGACCUCCAAAUUUCAUCUCUAAAAUGAAGAAAAUAAUUAUUCUGGCAGUUAAGUUAGAUCAACAUUACAGAGUCCCGGUGGAUUACAACAAAAACUUGAACUACUUUGUCUUUCUGUAGCAUGUAGCCUAUUAAGUGAGUUUACAUUUUUUAAUUGAAGUCCUUUUCUUUCUAUAGAAAAAUUUCAUCACUGCAUUAUCUGUUUCAUACACAGUGUGCUUUGUGUUGGCUGAUUGUUCAUUGUGACUUGAUGAAAAAUGUCUUCACGUUCUUAAUUUGAUUGAAUUAUUCUAUUACUAUGAAUAGACAGUCUGCAGAGAAAUAACAAUUUGUCUCUCAUUAGCAGAAAUGAGUUUCACAUCACAAACUUAAAUUAUCUGUUGAACUUCUUUUCAAGAAUGGCCUUUAAAAAAAAACCUGAUGAUGAUCGCAUAAGUACCAUAACUUUUUCUAAGCUAACCACAUGGGGGAUUUAGAAGAUAGAUAAUUUCUCUCAGAUAAGAAGGGAGGAAGCAGCGGAUUCCCAUUUUAGCCAGCUUGUCCUUCUUUGGGAAAGUAGGCUGGGAGCUUAACCUCUGACUGAGGCUGCUCUGAGGAGAAACAUGUCACAAGGCUUGGAAGUCUCCCCACGCACAGAUAAGAAUGGACACGGUCUUCUUGGGGCCACUGUUUUUAUUAUUAGUUUUUUAGCCCCUUUGUCCCUAUGGCAUUCAUGGCUGAACUGUGAUUUCCUACCUCUGCAGUGCAGUUUAGGAAAAGAUUAGGAAAUCCAAGAGAGUGUUCAGAUAAGACAAAUCUUUUUCCUCCAGUGGUAGUGACUGUUUUACAUAAAACAAGAAAACAACGACAGCUAAGAGGAAAAUAUUUAUUCUGCAUGACUGUGAGCUCAAAACCAGCAAACUCCAUUUUUAGCAAUUUGACUUUAAUCAAAGCCUGUUUUAACAUGAUAUCAACCUCUCUGGUUUCCAUUCAGCUACCACUGUAUGGUUCGUCAUCCAUUAGAAUUAUGAAUUUAUGAAGCCCUGUGUAGGAAAACCCUGGUCUGCCUCCUGUGUUUCUCCUCUACGCACACACUGUUCCACACUCACAGAAUGUCUUACCCCAGCUGUCUGUGUUUUUUUCCCUGACACCAAGAGAUUCUGCAACGCCAGCUGGGUGUCCCACAGUUGAACUCAAUUCUGACACCAUCCACCUGAUCCUACUGGUUAGGGGCUCAGGCCUAUGACACUCCCUCAGCUUUUGAUGCCAACGGCGCAUACUACUUCCCCAAGCUACCACAGCCUCUAUCCGACAUGGCUACACAUCAGAAGUGUCUGUGACGUCCUCCCUCCUUGGGUUGGAUGAUCUUCCAGAAGAGUUUUAUUUGUUUGUUUUGUUUUGUUUUGCUUUUUGGGGCCACACCUGCAGCAUAGGCAAGUUCCCAGGUUAGGGGAUCAAUCGAAGCUGCAGCUGCCAGCCUACGCCACAGCCACAGCCAUGCAGGAUCCGAGCUGAGUCUGUGACCUACACCUCAGCUCAUGGCAAUGCCUGAUCGUUAACGCACGGAGCAAGGCCAGGGAAUGAACUGGCAUCCUCAUGGAUACUAGUCAGGAUUGUAACCUGUUGAGCCACAGUAGGAAGUCCAAGAAAAGUCCAGGGAACUCACUGAGAAGAAACACAAGAAAACUUACUUUUACCAGUUUAUUAAAACCUACCAUAAAGGACACAGAUAAAGAGCCAGAUGAAGUUACAGAGGGCGAGGUCCGAGAAGGUCCUGAGCACAGGAGUUGGGCAGCAUUGCUCUCCCAGUAUAUGGAUCUGUUCACCAACCUGGAAGCUCCCUGGCCCCUCUACCAUUGGGAUUUUUGUGGAGGCGUCAUACACAGGCACAGCCAUGAUAGAUUAUUAAUUCUGUUUCUAGUUCCUUCUCUGGGGAUGAGCAUUCCAAGCCUUGAAUCAUGGCUUGGUCUUUCCAGGGAACAGCCCCCAGGAGCCAGUCACCUCAUUAGAACAAGAGACACUCCUAUCAUCCAGCACACUUCAAGGGGUUUAGGAGCCCUAUGUCAGGAACCCGAGUCAAAGACCAAAUAUUACAACAACAGGUGUUCUCAUCACUCAGGAAUUUACAAGGGUCUCAGGAGCUUGGUGCAGGAUAUGCAUUUCCUAUUAUCUCACAAUUUCAAACCAAACACUUUCCUGUACAUGGACAAAAUACUGUCUGCAAACGAGCAUAUUACCAGAGUUUGCCCACAGCUACAGCUAAUCAAUCAGUUAUGAUUUUUAAGUGGUCAUUCUUGUUUUUCUAACUUUAAUAUAUCUUAAUCAAAAAUCAUAGUUUUAUCCUCAUACUUCUCUCAUACUCUACUAAUAAGUAAUAAAAAAUUUGGACCAGAUGGUUUUCAUCCUUAGGCUAUUCAGAUUAGACAUGCCUGGUUUGAAUGAACCCACGAGUGAAGGCUGCUCUUCAGGAGUAGCAGAAACCACGGAAUAGAUGUGCAGAUAACAAUUCCCCCAUAAUGCGUAUUUUACAUUAAUUCCUAAAAUAGAAAAUGGUGCAGGUGUCAACUUGAUAUAUUCAUAUGUAGGUAUAAAUAUUGUUACACGGUCAUUAACUGAAGCAGAGAUUAACCUCAACAUGCAUUACCUCUAAUUUUACCUUUAUUCUGGGAGACUGAGAAUAAUUUCUGUGCCUGGUUAUGCUCAGGGGAAAUCAUAUCUGUACGUUGAGGUGUAAACAAUCCAAACUCUGUAAGAGGAGGCUGGGGAGGGAUUACACAUAGUCUAUUUUAAAUAUGGAAAGCAGGCGUUCCCUUGUGGUGUAGCAGGUUAAAGAUCUGGCAUUGUCACUGCAGCAGCUCAGGUUGUUGCUGUGGCAUGGGUUCAAUCCCUGGCCCUGGAACUUCCAUGUGCCACAGGCGCAGCCAAAACAAAACAAAAAAAUAAAACAAAGAAAUACUGAAAAAUGAAACAGGUUUUCAGAAGCCAACUUUGUGAGCCUCAAUUUUCCCUUUCGUGUUUAAUUUUGCAAGACUUUGACACCAGAUGAAUGUAAAUUUACUCCUUUACGCAUUUGUAGUUUUAAUGCAUUGGUUCUCUGAGAGUGGUCUUCAUUUUACAUGAGGUCCCUAGAGUGCAAGAAUUAUAUCUGUUCAAUUUGAAUCUGCAGUACCAGAAAUAAUGUCACUUGAUAUCAAUGAUCAAGACACAACAAUGAUGAGAACUCUGCUGAUGCUUUUCAGAAGAGGCUCAAGAAGAUCCAUCCCUAUAGCUUAAAACACAGUUUUGCUGAGACGAUGUAUUACUAGCUCAUAGUAACUGCAGUUGCCCUUCAGAAUGGUCCCUAAUCACUGUAAAAGUACAGACCAAAGGAAGAGAUACUAAUGUAUUCACUCCAGGUGGCUUUCAGGCAACACAUUAAUUCUUGAACAUGAAUAUAAAUAAAUAAUAAAUAAAAUGGAAUUCAUCCCAAUCUAUCAUAGAACUUCCUUGACAACUUAAAAGUCAACCAAAUAAAUCAGAAUAAUAGGAUUUUGACAAAACAAGACAUUUAUCUAUUACCAGAGAAACAUAUUGGUCACACAACUUAUAAAUUGCCAAUAGAGGUUUUCCAUCCAUCACCAAGAUUCCCAUCUAAUGACAGGGAAAUAAUUACCACACUCUACCAUGUCAUGCAAUCUUUUGAUGUGUUUGGAAGUGAAACGACGUGGAAAUGCAGCCCUCAGUGUAUGGACAACACCUGUGGGGUGGGUAGAUUUGGUUUUUUUUUUUUUCACUAAGGGCAUCUACAUUUUCUCAUGAAUAGGCAUGGGAGGCUCGUAAUUGUUCUAUGGCUUCAAGAAAGACUGCAGAGACACUUUUCUUGAAGAGAGAGCCUGUUUAAUCUUGGACCUUCCUAUAAUCUAUUACAGCCCUUCCCCCAUGUACACAUCCAAAAAAAUAUGCUUCCUAAUGUUUUACAAUGACAAUGAAUUGGAAGCUCCAGAUUCACUUCCAACACACUAGGUCCACUUCAACCUAAAAACUGAAUUUUCUCUAACGUGAAACCUGCAGGCAUCUAUCAGCACUGAACUUGAAUAUUUCAAUAAAUGAACCUGGAAACUGUUCCCAAAUUUUACAUAAGCCCUGCCCAGAACUUAAAGAAUGAAAAUCAACCCAGAAUGAAAAGAAACAAGGGACGCUGCUGUUCACCAAGAGGACAGGCACAUAAAGCCAGCUGUGUAAUCAACAGGAAACGUUUCUCCCAAGGUCAAGCAGCAGCUGCAAAAUGCCAUAACAACCCCCUUCUUGAGUGACGUCCGCUUUGUCCCCAGUGACGCUCUCAGGCUCCCUUUGCUGUAACUCAUCUAUUACUGGGGAUCCCCAACCACUAGGCUUCCCUCGCCUCU